Long non-coding RNA from Homo sapiens (human), 1709 nucleotides. Ensembl annotates it as ZRANB2 divergent transcript. Its record names the gene ZRANB2-DT. The record is from Ensembl. NCBI's taxonomy places the organism in Eukaryota, Metazoa, Chordata, Mammalia, Primates, Hominidae.
GGAGCUGGAAAGGUGGAGGCGGAAGUGACUGAUCAAUUCAGGGGCGUGGGGUUCGUUUAGGUUUUGCCCUGUGUAUGACCUCGUUUGGAGCCAUGAAACCAGGUGGCUUUUCUACAAUAUAAAGAUGGAAAUGGGAAGAAGAUGUUCAUUGCAAAUUAAGGAAGCUCUUCCACGAGUUCACGAAUGGAAAUAACAUCAAGAGUUUUUCAUCUUCUUAGUGUGCAAGAUGUCUGAGGAAUAGUCUUAGUGGAUUAUCCCAAACUUGACACAUUUUUUGCAAAAUGCUAUACAAAAAGAAGAUACAUGCGAUUAUGACAAGAUUCUCCACUUGGUGUGACCAGUCUCAUACAACCCAAGGCUGUGUGUCCAAAGGCAACUGUACUAGCUUUCAUGGUGAAAGAAGAGGGCAAAACUCAACCCGUCUCUUUAGACUUGGGAAGAAUAUGAAAGGACCAGGAGGGACACCUUUCCUAAUAACCUAGCUGAUGGUUCACUUAUUGUAAGCACAUUCUCAAACAAGGUGACAAUUAGGUUCAAAUAUCGUCUUUGAAACACAAAGUAGAUCUUACCCUUUUUAUCCUCUUAUUGCUAGUUUAGCUUCUACUGUUAGAAAGUUGAUUCUUAAUGUAAUAUUUGUCUAAGGGUCUGUUAUAGGAGUCCUAAACAGAUACAUCAGCCAUUUUAUGCUCCUAAAUGCAAGCCAGGAAAGAGCUAGAGAUAAAAGCAAAGAUGUUAAUUUAUGUAAAGUACUUAGCAUGGUUCCUGGCAAGAAUAACAAGUCAAUAAAUGAUAUUAAUAAUAAUACUAAUACUGUAAAUAAUACCUAACAAGGCUAUUUUUCUUAUUAUUUUUAAAAUUCAUACAGUCUCUAAAAUCUUCAGUUACUUGUUCCUCUCACAGUGUUCCAUACUACACCCUGGAGACACUGAUCAAGCAGAGAACUGUGUUUACUUGAUUGUCUGAAACAGCAGGCCGAUAUAGCAGUUGCAAGCAUCUUGAGCAAUUCUAUUCCAUAUAGAGACAUAAGAAACCGAGAGAAAGAGACACAAUACAUAGAAGAUUUUUUGCACCACUUAAGUCGCUUAAAAAUGAGAAAAAGAUAUAUCCAGUCUUCUUUUUUUUAAAAGACCACAUCACAUUUUUAAGAUGUAAUCCCUAGUAAUCAACAUGACAGCCCAGCAGAGCAGAAUCAGGAGUUCUUGCUGAAAUAAUCCUACACACUAACACUUUGUCUAAUGUCAUAAUAACAUCUGAAGAUGCACCUUUUUCUCCAACUAUUGAGCGGCUACUUUCUUUCCUCUUUCCCUCACAGCUGUCUCCCAGGCAGAUGAUUUUAGUAUAAUAUCUGUAAUCACUCCAGAGCUCUUUCCUGAUGUGUACUUUGUUCUCUGAACCCUUUAAAGUUGUAGCCCCUCUGAUUAUUUUGGUCCCAGAGUUUCAUGCCUUUUACACAUUGUUAUUCUAAAUUCCACGAGUCAUUUACUUGCUCAUAAUCCAGGUCUUUCAAGCCUCUUUGAGUUUGCACACUCGGUUCCACACUAUUUGUCUCCAUUUUUGUAUCAUUAGCCAAAUUGACUAAUAUGAAGUCUGCUCAGGAUGGUUCAAAAUGAAAAUAAUGUGCUAGCUGAAGAGUAAAUAUUACUGAGCUAUGAAUGAUGAAGAUUUGCUCAGAAAUUUUGCUUAUGAGUAGUUUGUUAUGAAGCAUACAA